Long non-coding RNA from Cervus elaphus (red deer), 3408 nucleotides. RefSeq lists it as uncharacterized. The transcript is spliced from 3 exons. NCBI's taxonomy places the organism in Eukaryota, Metazoa, Chordata, Mammalia, Artiodactyla, Cervidae. The record is from RefSeq and is a predicted model, not a curated record.
GUAAAUCUGCAACCAGGAGAGACGGGCAGUCAGGACCACAGCGGGUGACGAGGCCUCCAGAGAGGACCCCUGUUCUGCGCCCAGGCCUGGUCAGCGGGCAGUCUGCAAAUGGACGCCCCUCUGUGAUCGCAGGCCCUUUCCUUAAACACCGUACCACCCCCCGCCACCCCACCCUGUCUGCGCUCCUCUCCCCGCGGGACCCCAGCCUUCCGACUGCAUUUCGCCCACCCAUGUGGUGGUCCUGGCAGCACACAGCCCCCCUGAGCUGCAGGCUGGUGUGGCCGCGGGGUAGGGGGGCUCUGGCCUCCUCCCUCCACGGCCCCCCGGAUCCCUGUCCAGGCCCCAGGCUGUGGGAACGACCCGAGGGUGGAUGGAUGGCUCAGAAUCUACAUCUCCAGCCCGACCUCCCUCCGGACUCUCCAUGUGUGUAACCACCUGCCUCCUUGCCAUUCCCGGCAAUUUCUAACAGGCAUCUUCAGAUUUCUUUCGUUGACUGCAGUAAAAUCAUGUGACAGAAAACUGACCUCCUCAACCACCGCUGCGUGUACGGUUGGGGGUGCUCGGCGUCUUAGGAGGCUCUGCAGUGCGCUAGUUCUGACAGCUGGAACCCUGGCCCCGCUACACGCCCGCUCCAUGCCUGCUUCCUGCCCCCUGGCAACAACACGCUACUUUCUUUUUUCUGGCCAAGCUGCAUGGCUUACGAGACCUUAGUUCUGCAACAGGGCCCCGGCAGAGAGCGCCCAACCCUGGGGCCGCAGCGAGGUCCCUCCGCUUGCUACUGCGAUGACUGUGGCCAGCCCUGCUCGUUCCCUGGGGGGCGGUCGCACACGCCUUGUGCUCUUGUGAGCUGCUCGUUUCACUGAGCACAGCCCUCCUCAAGGCGCGUCCACACACGUGGCAGCAGGAAGUUCUCAGAGCCCCCCGCCCCCGCUUUCCGAGGCUGAGUAACGUUGCGCCGUCGGGAUGGGACCCCACUGGGCGCAUCAGUCAGCCCUCUGGACACUGGGCCCGCGUCCAUCUCAGGGCUGCCGUGAACACGGGGGUGCAGACCUCUCUGAGCCCCUGCUUUCAGUCCUCUGUCCCAGUUUCAGGCACGUCAGAAUGGCACUCGCAGUCCCCAGGGCCGCCUCCCCCAGCCUGCCAGCUUCCUGAUCUCAAGGGGAGACACUUGGGGGACUUCCCCAGUGGAGACGACACCUUUCCGUCCUGCUGUGCCCAACACGCAGACGUUCCCCGGGGAGUGAACGACCAGCUGAUGCCUCACCGGCGCCCGGGACGCGCCUCCCAAGGGCCGGCCCCCUGCCCUCCUUGGCCCGGGGCGGCGGCAGCUGCUCACCUUGAGCGUCUUGUCCUGGCUCUUGGCCGACUCCAUGAGCAGGUAGGCGCCCCUGCUGUCGCAGAGGCGGUCGGCGGAGCCCUGCAGCAGCAGGAAAGGCAACGUCAGCUUGGGCAGUGCCCGCUCCACCCGCGACACCGCGUUGAGCAGUUGGACGCCGAAGCAGACUUUGAGCCCUGCCCGGCAGACCAGGGGGUCCGCGUUGUAGAUGUCCACCUGCGGGGAGAGAGGCGUCUGUCAGACCCCAGGGAGCCACCCCCCACCCCCUGCACGGCCCCGAGCGCCUCAGAUUCCUGCCGGCUGGCCCUGCGCCCUCCCGUCCACGCCCGGGGCCCCCAGACGGGCUCAGCCUCAGCCUGCGCCCCUUCCCGUAAGCACGUCAUAGGCUGGCGUCGAUGAUUUCACGCGGCAAUACCAUGGUUGGCGCGGGUCUGCGUCUGAGUCUGUCUUCCCUGACACAGGGUCGCCGGAGCGAACGGACCUGCUGAGUCACUGGGGGUUGGUCAGUGCAGGGACGGGGACCCGGGGAGGGAUUGGGCUUCAUGCAGUGGCCGCCUGGCAUCCUGAGAGGCCCGUCCACUGCCCUGUGACCCAAGGCCACAGCCACCCCUCUGCCGGACACGCCAGGCAGCUGGGUCCACCCUCCUGAGCCAUCUGCAUUCCAGGACCCCCUCUGACACUGGCUCUGCCUGCAGCUCGGGAUCUGAGCCAGCCCUGGGGGGCGUCCCGGCCUGCCCCGCCCUUGUCUCUCUGCUCACCUCCGAGGGGACAGCAAGGGGCCUGCUUACUGGAGCAGAGACGGGCAGGUGCCCACAGGACUUCCCUGGGCACCCCCAGCUGCCUGGGCUCUCAGCGUGGUCACACGGCCGUGUCUGGUCAACAGGAAGCGAGAUGUGUCCAGCACCCAGGGCGGGAGCCCACCAGACCGCAUCCCGCCUGAGCCGCUUGGCGCCUGCCCACCGACCAGCCUGCCAAGCCCCUCAGGGACGCACCUCUGGGUUAAUUGCUCUGACAGCCUAAGUGGCUUCCUGCUCCAGGCCCCUUUCCCAUGCCUGGGGCAUGGAGGCUCUGUGUACAUGCUGAUUGGCCCUGUGUACAGGCCGACCCGUCCUGUGUACACGCCGACCCCAUCAUGUGUACACGCCGACCAGCCCUGUGUACACGCCAACCCAUCCUGUGUACACGCUGAUCCCAUCAUGUGUACACGCCGACUGGCCCUGUGUACACACUGACGGGUCGAGACCUGGGUGUCAGGGGAGGGCAGGUCCUGAGGCCAGCCACCACCAGGCAGGCGGAGGGGGCGGCCAGGAGGGCAGGGCAGACGCCCCACCCCCACACAGGGCAACAGGCUCAGAGGACCAACCCUCACCUCAGGUAACCAGCCCGCCCAAUCCUAGCCGCCUCUGCUUUCUGAGGUCUUAAGACCUAAACCCACCAAAGGUUUGGUGUCCUGCAUCCCAGGCAUGAGGCGGACGGCGACCUCCCCACCAAGGCCAGGCCCGCAGCACCUGAGCAGCUGGCAUCCACCCAAAACCCCAGAGAGGCCUUCAUGGGGGACCACGUUUCCGUGACCCUCUUCCAGUGAUCAUCAGAGUGGUCAGGCCUCGAGGGGGGCUACGAAGCAGCAACACGGGGGUCUCUGAGGGGUCAGCCCAACCCGCGCACACAGGCGUCCUGGCUGCCGUAACCCUGUGGUCCUGCAGGAGGGGACGUGGGCAGAGGCACGUGGACCCUGCCUGACUUCUCAGAAAGUGAAGGUCGCUCAGUCGUGUCCCACUCUUUGCAACCCCAUGGACCAUACAGCCCAUGGAAUUCUCCAGGGACCUUCCAGACCCAGGGAUCGAACCUGCAUCUGCUGUACGGGCAGCUGGAUUCUUCACCACGAAGCCGGACGUAGGUUCAGGAUGCGGAACACAUGUGAACCCAUGGCUGAUUCAUGUCAAUGUAUGGCAAAAACCACUACAAUAUUGUAAUUAGCCUCCAACUAAUAAAAAUAAUUGGAAAAAAAACAUAGGUUCAAAUCCUUAUGGAACAGCUGUGAGUCGAGUCCCUGGGGAAGGGACUCGCCCUCU